GAUGAAGAACGCAGUGAAAUGCGAUAAGCAGUGUGAAUUGCAGAAUUCAGUGAAUCAUCGAAUCUUUGAACGCACAUUGCGCCCUUUGGUAUUCCAAAGGGCAUGCCUGUUCGAGCGUCAUUUGUACCCUCAAGCUUUGCUUGGUGUUGGGCGUCUUGUCUCUAGCUUUGCUGGAGACUCGCCUUAAAGUAAUUGGCAGCCGGCCUACUGGUUUCGGAGCGCAGCACAAGUCGCACUCUCUAUCAGCAAAGGUCUAGCAUCCAUUAAGCCUUUUUUUCAACUUUUGACCUCGGAUCAGGUAGGGAUACCCGCUGAACUUAAGCAUAUCAAUAAGCGGAGGA
This 341-nucleotide unclassified non-coding RNA is filed under the name soil metagenome. Its description in RNAcentral is "partial contains 5.8S ribosomal RNA, internal transcribed spacer 2, and large subunit ribosomal RNA". The stretch from base 1 to 120 matches the Rfam family "5.8S ribosomal RNA", at positions 35 to 154 of the family's 154-position model. The record is from RNAcentral.